UAUUAUAUCGUAUACAAUAUAUCGUGACACAGAAAUAUCAUGAUAUUAAAAAUCCAUAUCGUGAUAACAGGGCUGUUCUGUCUUAAAAGUAGUCUAUUAUUUACUGUGAAGCUUUAGGUGUAUUUAUUGUAUAAUUGUUUUAGUUUGCAGUUUAUAUGCAUGCACUAAAUAUUCUGCAAUAUUAUUUGCUGCAUUUUAUUAUUUUAUGCUAUAUUAUUUAUUUUGCCACAUUAUGAUUAUUCUGUUAUACUAUUAUACUAUAUUCCUGAAAUUAAUUAAUUAUUUAACUGUUUUCCUAUAUCGCCAAGUAUAUCGUUAUCGCAAAAAUACCCUGAAAUAUCGUGAUAUUAUUUUAGAGCCAUAUCGCCCACCCCUAUAACCAAGCUCUGUAAAAAUAAAUAGUGAAUUAAGGCAGAAAUUUAAAAUAAAUUGCUAGCAUUAAUCUAGAAUGACAGCACUAAUUUAUUCCUAUGUGUAAAUAUGAAAUCUAUUGUUAUUUGCACUGCUAUUUGUAGAAGCUAUAUGUAGUUUGUUGUUUAGGGAGUAACUAAGUAUCUAAGAUUCAGCCAGAAACACUUAAAAAAACACAAUAAAGCUCUGUGCUCCCCAUCCACACAACACUACUGAAAACAGAGCUUUAAAAAAAAAAAAAAAUCAACCACUUGAAAAAGCUCAAGGACCAAAAAUGCCAUUUGUUAUGUGGACAGGAGACCAAAACACAGACUAUAAAUAUCCGGAUACAUGCAGACAGGCCCUAAGUUAAUUGCAUUAAUUAAUGCAUUUAAAUUUUAAAUGAUCUUUUACUCUCAUAUCUGUGUGUUUUGUUUCCUAUUAGUGUAAAUUGUUAAUACUGUUGAUACCUAAUAUGUGUAUAUUAGAAAUAGAAGUAUAUAAUAUAUACCUGAAAACUGAAGUGAUAUUUUAAUUGUAACAUACCGUAAUGUAGCAUUUAAAUCGAUACUGAAUUAAUAACGGGUUUUCUGUUGAAUAGUAUUCAGCUCUUGUUUUGAUUAGUAACACUUUAUCUUUAUAUUAAUGAAAUGACCACUUUCUCUUUUAAAGGAGCAUCUGUGCACGUUCUUACUGUUAACCUGAAGCACGAAUAAAAUUUUCCACAAGCUUUGGGAGCA
Molecule: long non-coding RNA, 1130 nt
Organism: Astyanax mexicanus (Mexican tetra)
Lineage: Eukaryota; Metazoa; Chordata; Actinopteri; Characiformes; Acestrorhamphidae
Exons: 2
Source: RefSeq, a predicted model, not a curated record